GUCGCCGCUGGCUCCGCCCACCGCGUGGUCCAAGGACCACCACCCGCCACCGCCGCGCGAGCGUACUAUUGCGGCCGCCCUCUGCUGCGCCUGAAGAGAGAGGCGACUCUACAAGCCUCACAGCAUGCACUGUUACUAAAAAGACGAUGCGUCCUCCUGGACCUGAGAUCUGUGUGAUCGUGGGAAAGCGACGAAAAACGAACAAAGGAACAGUAAAUGGAGUAACUUGGCUAGAAUAUGGCAGUAACUACAAGGCAUGUUCUGCUCUGGCACGAAGCUCUCUUGGAACUUUGAGCCACCACGUGAGGAGUCUGAUUACCCAUUCGCAAGUGAUGCCUAAACAGCCCCUGUUCCUUCCAGACAACCCACCUGAGGCACCAGACACAUGAGUGAAGCCAUCUUGGACAUCCCAGUCACAGCCAAACUCACUCCUGAGUGCAUCUGCAUGAUGAACCCAGCAAUCCCCACCAUGGAGCAAAGGAUCCAUCCAGUCAACCCAAAGAAUCGUGAAAAAUAAUAAAUUGUUGUUUUAAAGUUCUUCAGUUUGGGAAUAGCUUGUUAUGCAACAAUACAUAAUUAAUACACUGGUCUCCCACUUUCAAGUUUGAUUAACUUUCAGCUAUUUUUCACAUAGCAGGCAGAGUGAUUCCAUUAAAACAUAUAUCAGAUAAUGUCACUGCACUAAGUAAACUCUACAAGGACUCUCAUCUCCCUCAGAGUAAAGGUCACAGUUGUUACAAGGCCCUACGUAAUGUGGCCCUCACCACCACUCCAUUACCUUUUUCUUAUCUACUAUUUGCUAACUUUGCUUUGUCCUCUUUUCUGUUCUGAAACAGGCUAGGCAUGGUCCUGCCUCAAGGCCUUUGCACCACCUACUCUGUCUGCUUGGAUUGUUCUUCCCACAGAUUUCUUGCUCCCUUCUUCCUUCAUGAAGAAAUGUCAUGAAAUGUCCUUCCUUCAUGAAAUGUCACCUUCUCAUUUGAGGCCUUCUGUAGUACCCCAAAGAAUGGUCCCCAAAGAUGUCCACAUCCUUAUGCCCAGAACCUGUGAAUGUGUUAUCUUAAUGGCAAAAGUGACUUUGCAAAUGUGAUUAUAUUUAAGGAUCUUAAGGAGGAGAUUAUCCUGGAUUAUCCAGGAGGGCCCAAUGUAAUCACAAGGGCCCUUAUAAGUGAAAGGGGGAGGCAACAGAGAGAAGGAGAUGUCAUAAUGAAAACAGAUCCAAGUGAUGAGAUUGCUGGCUGGGGUGGAGGUGGAGGGGGGUACAAUCCAAGGAAUGCAAGAAGCCUCUAAAAGCUAGGAAAUGUCAGGACACAAAUUCUCCCCUAGAACCUGAGGAAGAAACCCAGGUUUAUGGACACUGAUUUUAACCCAAUAAGUCCCUUUUCUGACUGCUGACCUCCAAAACUGUAAGAUAAUAAAUUUGUGUUAUUUUAAGCCAACUGAGUUUGAGAUAAUUUAGUUAUGGCAGCAAUAGGAAACUAGCACACCUUCCUAGCCAUCCUAUCUAAAAUGGCAACCCAUGUCCUUCCUGGCACUUCCUAUCUCCCUUCCAUGUUUUUUUUAAAUCAUAUAUACAAUAUAUUUUACUGUUUUACCUAUUGUCUUUUCCACCAGAAAGUAAACUCCACGUAAAUAAGGAUUGUCUGUUUUAUUCUUUGCAGUAUCUCCACUGCCUAGGAUAGCAUCUGCACAUACUGCACACUCAGUACACAUUUGUCGAA
RNAcentral lists this long non-coding RNA (1721 nucleotides) under Homo sapiens (human). RNAcentral describes it as "cytoplasmatic differentiation associated epidermal RNA". Lineage: Eukaryota; Metazoa; Chordata; Mammalia; Primates; Hominidae. The record is from RNAcentral.